Long non-coding RNA from Mobula hypostoma (lesser devil ray), 733 nucleotides. RefSeq lists it as uncharacterized. Lineage: Eukaryota; Metazoa; Chordata; Chondrichthyes; Myliobatiformes; Myliobatidae. The transcript has 3 exons. The record is from RefSeq and is a predicted model, not a curated record.
UUUUGCUCUCUGCGGUUUCAUGGAUUGAGGCUUGGAGGUGCCAGAAAUUGCUGGGAGUGAAACUGAAAUGAUCUCUCCACAAUGAAGAAUUUGAAGGACUGGCCCUCUGUUUGACUGGAGCAACACAAAAUCUGCAGGAGGAACUCAGCAGGUCAAGAAGCACUGGAGGGAGGAAACCCUGCAUCAGUAUUGAGUGGAGAGCUUGUUUUCAGAAGGAUUCCAUCCCCUCAGUGAACAGUGGCAGCAGAGAUUUCAACUGUGGCCUUUCUCCGUGGAGUAUUUGUGACAGCAACACCAAACAUCAAGCUGUGACUAGAGUGAGGAUGUGCAAACCUCAGAUGUUGCUACAUGCUGAUAUUCUCACUGUUGAAAAGGAUGUGACUGGACAUGUUGCUGUGGAAUGUCUCUUUCAGCUGGACUGUAUUAUAGCUUCUGUCUCAUGGAAAAAAAUUGUGGAGAAGAACACCUACGAUCAUUAAUUAAUCAGACAGAAUGUCUAAACAGCGUGUCCUCCAGGCUCUGCUGCAAGACAAGAUAGUGGAUCCUGCUGGGUUAUCCCAAGCACAUUGUCAAAUUAUCUGUCAUGAGAUCUUAUUGUAGGGCAAUGUAAUUGGUAAAAAUGUAUAGAAUUCACAAAUACCAACAUUGAGUUGGGAUUCACUUUAAGAGGCGGAUCUGAUGUGAUGAGGUAAUUACAUAAAGGACAUUUAGCGCAUUUUGUGUUCAAUAAAUC